Molecule: ribosomal RNA, 251 nt
Filed under: uncultured bacterium
Lineage: Bacteria
Description: partial 16S ribosomal RNA
Rfam family: Bacterial small subunit ribosomal RNA
Source: RNAcentral
UACGUAGGGACCAAGCGUUGUUCGGAUUACUGGGCGUAAAGGGCGCGUAGGCGGCGUGGUAAGUCACUUGUGAAAUCUCUGAGCUUAACUCAGAACGGCCAAGUGAUACUGCUGUGCUAGAGUGCAGAAGGGGCAAUCGGAAUUCUUGGUGUAGCGGUGAAAUGCGUAGAUAUCAAGAGGAACACCUGAGGUGAAGACGGGUGCUGGGCUGACACUGACGCUGAGGCGCGAAAGCCAGGGGAGCAAACGGG